ACAUCUCACGCUAGCCGGUUCACUGUGUGUGCUAAUCCAUUUGUGGCUGAAACCCAGUUGAAGUAUUGCACAGUAUGAUAGGUGGAACCAUGAUGGCUGCGUAUUUGCGAGUUCCCAUGCUCACUUUCUCACAGUCUUCCACAGCUACGACAAGGAGAUGCAGAAAUCAAAGAACUCGUUGUUCAGUUAACGCCGCCACUAACAGCGCCAAAAUUCCAAUGCCUCCUCACAACCCUAAAGACCCAUUUCUCUCCAAGCUCGCCUCCGUCGCCGCCUCUGCCCCGGAAACGCUCCUCAACCCUCCCCGUAACUCCGACGCCCCUCCUUUUCUCGACAUCUUCGAUACCCCCAAACUCAUGGCUACUCCCGCUCAAGUUGAAAGGUCUGUUUCAUACAAUGAACAUCGGCCCACAAAACCGCCGCCGGACCUGCCUUCAUUGCUUCUCAAUGGUAGAAUUAUUUACAUUGGGAUGCCUUUGGUUCCGGCUGUCACAGAACUAGUUAUUGCGGAAUUGAUGUACUUGCAGUUUAUGGAUCCUAAAGAGCCAAUCUAUAUGUACAUAAAUUCCACUGGGACUACUCGAGAUGAUGGUGAAACGGUAGGCAUGGAGACAGAAGGUUUUGCCAUUUAUGAUGCAAUGAGGCAGUUAAAGAACGAGAUACACACAGUGGGUGUUGGAGCUUGUAUAGGUCAAGCCUGUUUGCUACUUUCAGCAGGCACUCCGGGUAAACGCUUUAUGAUGCCACAUGCUAAAGCUAUGAUUCAGCAACCUCGUAUCCCAUCCUCUGGGUUGAUGCCUGCAAGUGAUGUUCUUAUUCGUGCAAAGGAGGUGAUAACUAACAGAGACAAUCUGAUUAAACUACUGGCUAAACACACGGGAAAUUCAGAGGAAACAGUUGCUAAAGUGAUGAGGAGGCCAUAUUAUAUGGAUGCAAUAAAGGCUAAGGAAUUUGGUGUCAUUGACAGAGUUCUUUGGCGUGGCCAGGAAAAGAUUAUGGCUGACGUUGCUCCUCCAGAGGAGUGGGACAAGGGUGCUGGUAUUAAAGUUGUAGAUGAAUUCUAGUUCCUCUUUUGUGGAUACAUACUUGUCAAUGCGUUUACUGCUUCAGUUCUGGCAGUGCGAACCAAGUGAAGCUCCUAAUCUGCUCUGUGAGAAUGCAGCAUAUAUGGUGGUGUUAGGGAAAGUAGAAAACGAGCUCUGAAUUGUUUAAACAAAGAUGUCACAAGUUUCAGUAGGAUUUGUUUUCACUGUCUACGAGUCCAGAAAUGUGCCACAGCUAUUGACAGAAAACUGACCUGUAGGUUAUGAGCCGAAGUGCCAGAAGGAAGAAAGUUGAUGGACAUUUUACUAAGAAUGUUAGGGAAAAACAUAGAAAAAGAAACAGCGAUGUUCAUCCAUGUGGUCAUAUACAAUGUUUUGGUUCUGGUCAUUGUGUAGUCAUUGAUUGUCGCCCGAUUAUUUAUAUAGGGACUCUGACGUUUAUCAUUAUACUAUCAAUGAAGGACAUGCAAAUUUGUUAUA
Vigna angularis (adzuki bean) is the source of this 1523-nucleotide RNA transcript. It is a transcript of the gene named ATP-dependent Clp protease proteolytic subunit-related protein 3, chloroplastic, with no coding region annotated. Lineage: Eukaryota; Viridiplantae; Streptophyta; Magnoliopsida; Fabales; Fabaceae. The record is from RefSeq and is a predicted model, not a curated record. The transcript has 11 exons.